UAACUGCCAAGAGAUCGGGAUAACACCUGGAAACAGAUGCUAAUACCGGAUAACAACAGAUGAUGCCUAUCAACUGUUUAAAAGAUGGUUCUGCUAUCACUCUUGGAUGGACCUGCGGUGCAUUAGCUAGUUGGUAGGGUAACGGCCUACCAAGGGCGAUGAUGCAUAGCCGAGUUGAGAGACUGAUCGGCCACAUUGGGACUGAGACACGGCCCAAACUCCUACGGGAGGCAGCAGCC
This 239-nucleotide ribosomal RNA is filed under the name uncultured Lactobacillus sp. RNAcentral's name for it is "partial 16S ribosomal RNA". It matches the Rfam family "Bacterial small subunit ribosomal RNA", at positions 122 to 355 of the family's 1533-position model. Lineage: Bacteria; Bacillati; Bacillota; Bacilli; Lactobacillales; Lactobacillaceae. The record is from RNAcentral.